UUAAUGUUUGCCGUGGUUUGCUGUCUUCGCCGCUUGGUUUGGCGGGCGGGCCUAUCUUUUGAAAUGUGUAACGUGCUUGAAACAUCAUGUUUACAAUAUUCGGUCUGACGGUCUUACAAUAACACUACCUACUAAAAAUUCGAAUGCUUUCAACAGUACCCUGGAGAUACAAAAAGGUUAAGUGUAGUUGUAAUAAUGAAUACUUCUCAACAUAUUCAUCAAAUAGAGGAUGUGCAGAUAUUGAAAGACAAAAUUUUAAAAAUAGACUCAAUUUUCACAUUGGUUGCUGAAAAGCAAAGAAAAAUAGCUGUCUUGGAAACUAAGUGUAAAAGAGCACAGCAGGACAAUAACAAAUUAGAAAGUCAAAAUCAUGAAUUACAUAGUGAGAUUGAAAGAAGAAAUAAGGACCAUGAACAGACAACAAAUGAAUAUCAGGCAAAAUUAUUGGAUGAGAUUCAAAAGUACCAUCUAUUGGAGGAUUCAGUAAAAAAUUAAGAACAAUAAUAAAAGGGUUAUUCAGAAGUACCAGAAAAUAUUUGCCAAGAAUAAAAAUCAUCUAAAUGCAACUAAGAAGAAAUAUGCUUUACACAUCAACCAGUUAAAA
Molecule: long non-coding RNA, 604 nt
Organism: Dalotia coriaria
Lineage: Eukaryota; Metazoa; Arthropoda; Insecta; Coleoptera; Staphylinidae
Exons: 4
Source: RefSeq, a predicted model, not a curated record